This is an RNA transcript of Arabidopsis lyrata subsp. lyrata, 1720 nucleotides long. It is a transcript of the gene named putative receptor-like protein kinase At4g00960, with no coding region annotated. NCBI's taxonomy places the organism in Eukaryota, Viridiplantae, Streptophyta, Magnoliopsida, Brassicales, Brassicaceae. The transcript has 3 exons. The record is from RefSeq and is a predicted model, not a curated record.
ACGUUAACGAGGCUUGAUUUGAGCUUCAACAACCUCUUUGGUCCUGUUCCGGUGAAACUCGCUGGUGCUCCUUUGCUUGAAGUUCUCGACAUUCGUAAUAACCCUUUGCCGGCUUCGUUCCCUCUGCUUUGAAGAGGCUAAACAAUGGAUUCCAGUAUUCAAACAAUCACGGUUUAUGCGGAGAUGGGUUCACGGAUUUGAAUGCUUGCACCGGUUUAAACGGUCCGAACCUAAACCGGCCAGACCCAACAAACCCAACGAAUUUCACAACCGUUGACGUGAAACCAGAAUCAGCAGAUUUACAACGAAGCAAUUGCAGUAACAAUAAUGGCGUGUGUUCAUCAAAAACCUCAAAGUCUUCACCUUUAGGAAUCGUCAUGGGUCUUAUGGGUUCAAUCCUCGCAGUUGCAAUCUUUGGUGGUUCAACAUUCACAUGGUACAGACGAAGGAAACAAAAGAUUGGAAGCAGUCUUGAUGCAAUGGACGGUAGGAUUAGCACUGAGUACAACUUCAAAGAAGUUUCUAGAAGAAAAAGCUCUUCUCCAUUGAUCAGCCUAGAGUAUGCAAGUGGUUGGGAUCCGUUAGGACGAGGACAGAGCAGUAACAACAACAGUGCAUUGUCUCAAGAAGUCUUUGAGAGCUUUAUGUUCAAUCUUGAGGAGAAUGAGAGAGCUACUCAGAGCUUCUCUGAGGUUAACUUGUUGGGGAAGAGUAAUGUCUCUUCGGUUUAUAAAGGUAUCCUUAGAGAUGGUUCUGUUGCAGCUGUAAAAUGUAUAGCGAAAUCGAGCUGUAAAUCCGAUGAAUCCGAGUUUCUCAAAGGGUUGAAGAUGCUGACAUUGUUGAAGCAUGAGAAUUUAGUGAGGUUGAGAGGAUUCUGCUGCUCAAAAGGACGUGGAGAAUGUUUCCUUAUCUAUGAGUUUGUCCCCAAUGGUAAUCUUUUGCAGUAUCUUGAUGUGAAGGAUGAGACUGGAGAGGUUCUCGAAUGGACAACUCGAGUUUCCAUCAUUAAUGGCAUCGCCAGAGGGAUUGUUUACCUACAUGGAGAAAAUGGAAACAAGCCUGCAAUAGUUCACCAGAAUCUAUCUGCAGAGAAGAUUCUCAUUGAUCAUUGGUAUAAUCCUUCUCUUGCGGAUUCCGGUCUUCACAAGCUUUUCACGGAUGACAUCGUUUUCUCGAAGCUCAAAGCAAGUGCGGCAAUGGGAUACUUAGCUCCUGAGUACAUAACUACAGGGAGGUUUACUGAUAAGAGCGACGUGUAUGCCUUUGGUAUGAUUCUGUUGCAGAUACUGAGUGGUAAAAGCAAAAUCAGCCAUUUGAUGAUCUUACAAGCUGUAGAGUCAGGAAGACUGAAUGAAGACUUCAUGGAUCCAAAUCUUCGAAAGAACUUCCCGGAAGCAGAAGCAGCUGAGCUCGCUAGACUUGGUCUUCUCUGCACCCAUGAAUCCUCAAACCAGAGACCAUCCAUGGAAGACGUUAUGCAAGAACUGAACAAACUCGCAGCGAAUUAUUAGUUUCCGUUUAACAAGAUUCUUGCUUUUAAUGUCCAAGAAUUGGCAUACCAAGGUUUCAGAAUAUCACCAUUCCCCUGAUGUUAACUCUGUUUUUAGGUUCAGUGUAACAAUCUUAUCUCCUUGUAACUGUAGCUGAUGUACUUAGGCUGUAAAAACAAUCACUUUUCAGAAGUUUUAGGUGAUCUUGUGGGAAGUGUUUUUUUCAGACA